Long non-coding RNA from Symphalangus syndactylus (siamang), 1440 nucleotides. RefSeq lists it as uncharacterized. The record is from RefSeq and is a predicted model, not a curated record. NCBI's taxonomy places the organism in Eukaryota, Metazoa, Chordata, Mammalia, Primates, Hylobatidae.
CAACAUCUUCCAGUGAGUAGUCAAUAGGUAGAACAUUCCACAUGGACCAUCUACACAUGUCCUCCUGGAUGUUUGCCCCAUGACAGCCCAGAGGAGACAUCAUUUUUCAAUCAUCUCUGCAUCUCAACUUUAAUAUUUUAUACAUAAUCCUAUUGCAGCCUUGAUUCAGGAAUAUUCUAGAGGUGGCACCUGCAAUCAAGCCUCCUCCUGCUCACUGUUGGUAGUUCAGGCACAGCAAGAAGACAGCUGCCUGCAAGCCAGGAAGAGAGCCCUCACCAGGAACCAAAUAGCCUAGUGCCUUGAUUUUCGACUUCCCAGGCUCCAGAAUGGAGGCCCAUCUACUGGAAACUCCUAGGAUGAUUCCAGGCUGAAAGGAGGGUGCACAGUGCUUCAGCUAUGGAUUUCUAGUCCAAACUCUGCCAACUUCCAGCUGUGUGUCCUUGAGCAAGUUACUGAACAUUUCUGGGCCUGUACCCUCAUCUGUAACAUGAUGAUAAUCAUAGUACACCCACCCCUUACCUCAAAGCGUUGUUGUAGACUUCAAGUAGGAAACUGUGUUUGUGAUGACCUUGGCACAGUGCCUGACCCCUGGUGAUUUUUCAACAAAACCAGCUACUCUCACAGACAACUCGUCUUCCAAUUGUUCUGGAAACUUCUGUCAUCUCUCUCUGAGAUGCCAAUUUUAUCCAAAGGAUGCUAUGUGGCCUUCAUAAUGUGGAGCCCCAGCCAAACACAUUUCACUCAUUAAUUUAUCCAACAAACAUUUACUAAGCUCUUACUAUGUGCCAAGCACUAAAAUCGAUUCUGCUGAUAAAAACAUGACUAAUACACCAUCCUGUUAAGAAUUUACUGACAUUGGACAAGACAGACUUAGAAGCAACCUGGCAGGCUGGAGGAGUCUGUAGCAUAAACAGGCAGAAGGAACUCCUAAAGUAGGGCUUUGCUGACCCAACUAUCUUUGGCUGCUUCAUGGCAAAGGCAAGACUUAGAAGUAGCCAGGGGCCCUUCUGUGGAGUCUUGAACAGCAGGCCACCAUAGCCCUGGGGCAAGGUCGUGGAUACCACCAUGCAGGCUGGGCCUCAUUAGAGUCAUGGCUCAACUUUAUAAGGGCCAUAACAUCAGCAGGGCCAAAGUGAGGCUGAGUCCACCAGAAAAGGUGGGAGACACGGGCUGUAACCAAAGCCAAAGAAAGAGACUAGAUCACAAAGUAUACAAGGCACAGAUUUGGCUUAAAAUGCCAACAGAACAAAGACCAGCCAUGGGGACAAGGGUGUGGCUCUGGAGACCAAAGGGGCUGGAGAACCCUGAAACUUCUCCCUCUACCAUGAUGUUACAUAAAGCCCCCUCCUUCUUUCUUCCCCCUGAGUAAGAGGACUAGGAGGACAGAGGAAUAGAGUGGGAGACUGAGCAGCUUUUGUUUUGGAGACUGGCAUUUCCAAA